Molecule: small RNA, 20 nt
Filed under: Arabidopsis thaliana (thale cress)
Lineage: Eukaryota; Viridiplantae; Streptophyta; Magnoliopsida; Brassicales; Brassicaceae
Description: AGO1_0415
Source: RNAcentral
GAAGCUGCCAGCAUGAUCUA